This is an RNA transcript of Vigna radiata var. radiata (mung bean), 3092 nucleotides long. It is a transcript of the gene named serine/threonine-protein kinase STN8, chloroplastic, with no coding region annotated. The transcript has 6 exons. The record is from RefSeq and is a predicted model, not a curated record. NCBI's taxonomy places the organism in Eukaryota, Viridiplantae, Streptophyta, Magnoliopsida, Fabales, Fabaceae.
ACCAACUAUUAUUUAUGAUGAAUGAAUCUAUCAUAAUAAAAUUUGGACAUGUUGGUCAUUUUUUUAAUUUUUAUAAUUUUUUACUAAAUCUAUAAUGUUGAUGGAAAGGAUUAUUUGAUAACUUUGUUUUCUCUAAAUAAUAAAAUUGGGUGUGAAAUUGGGGUCGUGAAAUUUAUCUUUUCCAGAAAAUGAAAUUGAUUUGAUGAGUAAUGAUGCCAAUUUUUUAGAAGACUAAUUUCUACUUUUUCUUAAGGAUUAAAAUAAAUUCUUACAGGAUUAAUUUCUGCAUUUUUUUAUGAAGAAAUUUAAAAUGAAUAGUGUAAGGCUAGAAACAUAUUAAAUACUUUAUUUAUUGUGUAAGGUUUUGUUGGAUGAGGCUUGGGGUGAUUAUGAAGCUAGAAAAUAAGGAGAAAAGGUGGAUAAAGAAAGAAGGAACAGAUGGCCCAAGAUUAAAAUAUUCAUUUCUAGCUUUUAGUUUUGUGAGAAACAACCAACCAACAUGGCUUCUCUGCUUCCUACAACUGCCACAACACUUCAACAUAAUCGUACCAUCUGCUUCUCUCCUCUCAAACUCAGCAUCCCAAUUACCAUUUCCUUUUCGACAAACCGUUUCAAGAGUGCCUCUCCAAAGUGCAAUGCAGUUUUUGGUGAUAUUCCCAAAGACUUGUUGGAGACCACUUUUCACUUGGACCAGUUUUCUGUCUUCCAAUCAGUGUUAGUGAAGUUUCAGCAUGUAACUGAAGAUUUAUCAGACGUGCAGAGGUGGGGGUUUGUGAUACUUGCAGGGCUGACAUGGACCUAUUUAACUGCGAGGCCGGGUGUCCUUGUGGGCGCCAUUGAUGCAUUCCUUUUGGCCCCUAUUCAACUGCUUUUGGACACUUUAUCUGGAAGAAGAAAUCUUAAGAGGACUGAUUUUCUUAUUGGAGAUAAACUUGGAGAAGGGUCUUUUGGUGUUGUUUAUUCAGGUUUUUUCAUCCCAAACAAUGUAGAUGCACAAGAGUGGAUUCAAAAAAAUGGAAGAGGCAAGGUGAAAAAGUUUGAUGCCAAAUCUAAGGAUAAAGUCAUUCUUAAAAAGAAUGUGCAGGUAAAGGUUGGAAUUGAAGGGGCAGAGGAAUUUGGUGAUUUUGAGGAGUGGUUCAAUUACAGACUCUCCAGAGCAGCUCCUGAAACAUGUGCUAAGUUUCUUGGAAGUUUUGUAGCUGACAAAACGAAUUCACAGUUCACAAAAGGUGGAAAAUGGCUAGUUUGGAAGUUUGAGGGAGGGCGCUCUCUUGCUGAUUACAUGGCUGAUCAAAGCUUCCCAUCAAACUUAGAGUCUACCAUGUUUGGACGUGUCUUGCAGGGUGUAGACUCUUCUAAACGAAAUGCAUUAAUCGUCAAGCAAAUAAUGCGCCAGAUCAUUACUUCUCUCAAGAAAAUUCACGACACUGGAAUUGUUCAUAGGGAUGUUAAGCCUGCCAACUUGGUAGUUACCAAACGGGGGCAGAUUAAACUGAUCGAUUUUGGUGCUGCAACAGACCUUAGAAUUGGAAAGAAUUAUGUUCCCAAUCGUAACCCCUUGGACCGUGACUACUGCCCGCCUGAACUGUAUGUUCUACCAGAAGAAACUCUGAGCCUUCCACCAGAGCCAAUUGCAGCUUUCCUUUCACCAAUCAUGUGGCAGUUAAAGAGUCCUGAUCUGUUUGAUAUGUAUUNUGCUGGGAUUGUAUUCCUGCAAAUAGCAAUUCCAACCUUAAGAUCUUCAGUUGCUUUGAAGAAUUUCAAUUUGGAGAUAAGAACUUGUGGAUAUGAUUUGAACAAAUGGAGAGNGUCUACUCGCAUGAGGUCUGACUUCCAAAUUCUUGAUAGUGACUCUGGAAGAGGUUGGGACUUGGCAACAAAGCUUAUCUCCAAGAGAUGUUCACAAUUAAGAGGACGUUUAUCUGCUGCUGCUGCUUUGAGGCAUCCUUAUUUCCUUCUGGGUGGAGAUCAGGCUGCCGCAGUCCUUUCAAAACUAAGCUUUUAAAGCACAAAAUGAGCUGCUUAGAAAUGAUAUGUAGCACAACAAGUUUAUGAGCCGAAAGAGCCAUUGGUCCAUGAGGGCAUGAGACACCUAAGGUAUGUGCACAAAAGAAAAAGGGAAAUCUUCAAGCUGAGGUAGCAUGAGUAAGUGCAGACGUUGUUACUAACUGGAGCUGGCAUAAAUAGUGGGAGGUGGUUAGAUGUGGGAGAAUAUUUUUGUUAGUGUCUCAUGAGGCAGAGGGGACAGGGGAUUAUGAUCUGAUUUUCUGUUAGAGGAGCUAUGCUAUGGGCAAUUAGAGGUUUCCUCCUUCUGUAGUUUCCUUUAAAUUGCAAAUAACAUACAAUUCUGUAGUGCCUUCAUAUUUUCUGCUUUUCCUUUUACCACUAUAAUAUUGGUCUGUAACACCUCUUCUGAUUAAACUGAUAAUAUGCAGGGAUAGUAUACCUAUUUGUUUUUGCUCUUUUGGUGAGCACAACCCACAUCACUGUUAAUUGAAGUUCUCAGUGGCAAUUUUAUUAAAGAACGUCUGUUUUCUUCCGGAGGAGCUCCUAUGAUAUGUAUAUAAUGGCAUCCCAUCUAAAGGCCGACUAAUUUGUAAAUUUACAAGCAGAAAUUCGCAGAUUUUCUUCCAUAUUUUCUAUGUUUAAGCCUGAGAACCUCCAGAAGAUCUGAAAGAAAAAAGCUAUCAUAGCUGCCUAGCAUGUUGGUGGUCUAAAUUCAUACAUGCCUUCCUUGUUAUCUGUUUGCCUAUAUAAUAUGACAUAUCUCCUCUCUCAAAAUCAAUGGCUUAUUCAAAUUCAGGAAGGAGUACUCAAUGGCUUACAAAGGCUUAACAAGCCUCUUUUCAUGAUUUUUUAUUCAGAGUUUGGCAGGAGAUGACGAGUAAUACCAAUGAGUACAAAAAGUAUAAAACUGGAGGAAGAGACAAUCUAUUGUUUUUUUUAUGAUAAGAACUUGCCUUAACAUGGGCCUUGUAGUAGCUUCUAAGAGUUGGAUGUGAGAAGAAGUCAUCAUCAGAGGUCAAGUUAAGGCCAGCAGCGUUUCCCCAUUUCACAUAUUGUGCUUUGCCUCCAUAUACCUCCCAGUUGUU